GACGAACGCUGGCGGCGUGCCUAAUACAUGCAAGUCGAGCGAAGUUUUUCUGGUGCUUGCACUAGAAAAACUUAGCGGCGAACGGGUGAGUAACACGUAAAGAACCUGCCUCAUAGACUGGGACAACUAUUGGAAACGAUAGCUAAUACCGGAUAACAGCAUUAACUGCAUGGUUGAUGUUUAAAAGUUGGUUUCGCUAACACUAUGAGAUGGCUUUGCGGUGCAUUAGCUAGUUGGUGGGGUAAAGGCCUACCAAGGCGACGAUGCAUAGCCGACCUGAGAGGGUGAUCGGCCACACUGGGACUGAGACACGGCCCAGACUCCUACGGGAGGCAGCAGUAGGGAAUCUUCCGCAAUGGGCGAAAGCCUGACGGAGCAACGCCGCGUGAGUGAAGAAGGAUUUCGGUUCGUAAAGCUCUGUUGUUAGGGAAGAAUGAUUGUGUAGUAACUAUACACAGUAGAGACGGUACCUAACCAGAAAGCCACGGCUAACUACGUGCCAGCAGCCGCGGUAAUACGUAGGUGGCAAGCGUUGUCCGGAAUUAUUGGGCGUAAAGCGCGCGCAGGUGGUUUAAUAAGUCUGAUGUGAAAGCCCACGGCUCAACCGUGGAGGGUCAUUGGAAACUGUUAAACUUGAGUGCAGGAGAGAAAAGUGGAAUUCCUAGUGUAGCGGUGAAAUGCGUAGAGAUUAGGAGGAACACCAGUGGCGAAGGCGGCUUUUUGGCCUGUAACUGACACUGAGGCGCGAAAGCGUGGGGAGCAAACAGG
Molecule: ribosomal RNA, 768 nt
Filed under: uncultured bacterium
Lineage: Bacteria
Description: bacterial SSU rRNA
Rfam family: Bacterial small subunit ribosomal RNA
Source: RNAcentral